Corapipo altera (White-ruffed manakin) is the source of this 1239-nucleotide long non-coding RNA. RefSeq lists it as uncharacterized. The record is from RefSeq and is a predicted model, not a curated record. The transcript has 2 exons. NCBI's taxonomy places the organism in Eukaryota, Metazoa, Chordata, Aves, Passeriformes, Pipridae.
GAUGGGCGUGCUGGUGGGAGUUGACUGAACAGAUUUUACCAGGUGAUGAAGUCAGCUUCCUCUAGACUCACCUUAGUUGCUUCCCCUCCUUGAUGAACCUUUUCCUUUAAGUCACCCCGGGAAGCAGCAAGACUCCUCCUGCAAGAGAUGAUCAUUCAUGUCAUGACACUGCUGAGGAUUCACAGUACAUCUACACAGGUGCCCUCAGUGCACCAAGGUGCCCCCUCAAGUCUGAAGCUCCUGAGUGACUGGAGUUGGCUCCUCACUACUUUAAUUCUCUCUCAUUUUCUGUGUCCUAGACACAGGACAGUGUCCUAGCACUGAGGGGAGUGGCAUGAGUUACAGCACCAAAACAAAGCCUUCAUCCUAUUGUGAUCACAGGCCCUGAAAAACGUUUAGCUACGGUUUGUUCCUUUGUUUUGGACCUGCCAAUCACAUUGUGGGGCCGAGAUGCUUUGGGACAAUGGGGACUUGAUCUUACUACAAAUUUGUCCUAAUGGCCACUGAACAGCAGCUGGUCCCUGCCCUAACCUGGACAGCAGAUAAGCUGGUUUGAGUGGACCAGUGGCUGAUUAGAAAGGACAAGCUGCAACAUCUUCAAGCCCUCAUUCAAGAACAACUUUUAGCAGGACAUAUUUGUGCUUCUACCAGUCCCUGGAAUUCCCCAGUGUCUCUGAUCCAAAAAAGAAGUGGCAAGUGGCCACUUGCCACUCUGGAACAGGGAUUUGAAUCACAUUUUCCCAGAUACCUUAGCCACUACCAAAUAGGUUUGCAAUGCUUCUUUGUCUGGUUCAGAGUCUGUUUUGCUAUUCAGACCAUGUCGAAAUGCCCUGGCAGGAAGAGAGCCUGGCUCUCAGUCCAGGACUAGCAGUCACCGGGUGCUCAGGGUUCUCUGCUGGUAAGGAAGAUCAUUCUCUGACUGAGAAGAAUCUGCCAAUUAUUCUGAAAUCCUCUCCCGUUGCAUCAGACAUGUGACUCCAUGGAGAAGUUCACAUCUGAGAAGACCCUGGGGAAGAAAUACGGAGGUGCCUAAAGCCCUGCUCCAUCCACUAACAUCUCAUUUCUUACCUAAUCUCUUUGGUACUCUUUUCUAGAAAUCUAAUUCUCUACACAGGUUCUUGGGGAAACCUUUCUUUAGCAAAGACAGCCAAUGAUCCAAUGUCUGUGAUGCUGACCCUAAAUAUGUUUUUUCAAAUGUUGCUGAUGAGCUUUCCUAUCUUCUUCAUGUGCUGCUCAUUG